GACGAAUGCUGGCGGCGUGCUUAACACAUGCAAGUCGAACGGAAAGGCCCUGCUUGCAGGGUACUCGAGUGGCGAACGGGUGAGUAACACGUGGGUGAUCUGCCCUGCACUUCGGGAUAAGCCUGGGAAACUGGGUCUAAUACCGGAUAGGAGCCAUUUUUAGUGCGAUGGUUGGAAAGUUUUUUCGGUGUAGGAUGAGCUCGCGGCCUAUCAGCUUGUUGGUGGGGUAAUGGCCUACCAAGGCGGCGACGGGUAGCCGGCCUGAGAGGGUGGACGGCCACAUUGGGACUGAGAUACGGCCCAGACCCCUACGGGAGGCAGCAGUGGGGAAUAUUGCACAAUGGGCGCAAGCCUGAUGCAGCGACGCCGCGUGGGGGAUGACGGCCUUCGGGUUGUAAACUCCUUUCGCUAGGGACGAAGCUUUUGUGACGGUACCUAGAUAAGAAGCACCGGCUAACUACGUG
This 464-nucleotide ribosomal RNA is filed under the name uncultured bacterium. RNAcentral describes it as "partial 16S ribosomal RNA". It matches the Rfam family "Bacterial small subunit ribosomal RNA", at positions 28 to 507 of the family's 1533-position model. The record is from RNAcentral.